UUGUGGUUAAUUUGAAGUAAGCUUUUCUUUUAAAUAUGUUUUUUUGUAAUACAAAGACUGACGAUAUGCGGUUAUAUCCGUUUUGCUGGCUACAACAGGUCUGUUUGUUCUGGUUGGUUCCAUCCUAGUCUUUCUCACUAACCCUUAAUAAAAUGUGCGUAGAUGAUUGUGUAUAAUAAAUGUGAUAUACUGUACUAUACAAUUCAUAAUGCAAUUAAAUCGUUCUAGGGACUUCAUGAUAAAGGCAAGAAGCUUUUGUAACUGUACUGCAAACAGAAAUAAUAAAUAACGUCAUCAGUAAGUAAUGUAAAAUGUACUUAGUUACUGUAUAUACAGAGAAUUUAUCUUUACAAUGGUGUAAAGUCCAGCCGUUCUGCCACUGCUGUAUUCAAAUCUGAUCCAACAAUAUUGUUUUAAUAACGUCAUUACUGGUCGUGACGAAUAGAGACAAAUAAUCCAGUUCAGAAACCGCACACUUAUUUGGCUGCAUCACCUUGCUCAAGUCAAGCAGCAAACAUAUAUUUCAUCCAGAAGAUUUAGAUUAGAAUACCUGUUGCAUAAAACUCAUGUUGUCACAAUUUGUUGUUUUUGUUCCACCCACUUUGUCAUUUUAAGACUAAUUAUGAACUUUGACAGUAAUAAAAUGUUUUAUUCAACAAAUUACAUCAUUCCCAACCAAUUAGAACAGGAUAUAUUUGUAGUGCCACUCCUAUCAGUAGUUUGCUGAUAAUAGGAGUGGCACUACAAAUUAACCAAUGAGAGUGCAGCUUUCUCAUGAAAGACUUUGAUAAAGUAAAAGCUGCCGGUAGCAGCAAGUUACCUAGCAACGAACACAAUGUACAGGCCACAAGGGGAGAUAAACACAUUUUGAAUUGAGGAAAUCCUGGGAAACAGAAGCAGACGAGCCUUGGAGUCAGGUGUCAAAAGGGGUCAUUACUGUAAUGGUCUGCAACGGAAACCUUACCUUGAAUAAAGGUCUCAGACAAGUUGACAUCUAAAGGAAAUGGCUUCGAAUAGAAAUUGGUCUGGAGCACAUUCUAGGGGGCGUGAAGAUCAUUCUAAACAGGGACAGAGUAGCGGCUCCUCAAAAGGUUCAGGCAGUGGAUUCAGGCAGUCCGGCAACAGGGAAGGGAAAGGUGUCAGUCAGAGAACAGGAGAGGUGACAAUUCCUCCUGG
Molecule: long non-coding RNA, 1176 nt
Organism: Acipenser ruthenus (sterlet)
Lineage: Eukaryota; Metazoa; Chordata; Actinopteri; Acipenseriformes; Acipenseridae
Exons: 3
Source: RefSeq, a predicted model, not a curated record